This 510-nucleotide ribosomal RNA is filed under the name uncultured Alphaproteobacteria bacterium. RNAcentral describes it as "bacterial SSU rRNA". It matches the Rfam family "Bacterial small subunit ribosomal RNA", at positions 1 to 536 of the family's 1533-position model. Lineage: Bacteria; Pseudomonadati; Pseudomonadota; Alphaproteobacteria. The record is from RNAcentral.
CAUAUGGUCGACCUGCAGGCGGCCGCGAAUUCACUAGUGAUUAGAGUUUGAUCAUGGCUCAGAACGAACGCUAAUCGAAUUCCUAAAACAUGCAAGGCGAACGGUAGCAUACGGAGUGGCAGACGGGUGAGUAACAGUGGGGUACCCUUUGGUUCGGAACAACACAGGGAAACUUGUGCUAAUACCGGAUAAGCCCUUACGGGGAAAGAUUUAUCGCCGAAAGAUUGGCCCGCGUCUGAUUAGCUAGUUGGUGAGGUAACGGCUCACCAAGGCGACGAUCAGUAGCUGGUCUGAGAGGAUGAUCAGCCACACUGGGACUGAGACACGGCCCAGACUCCUACGGGAGGCAGCAGUGGGGAAUAUUGGACAAUGGGGGCAACCCUGAUCCAGCAUGCCGGAGUGAAGAAGCCUUCGGGUUGAAAGCUCUUUUGGAUGGGCGAUGAUGACGGUACCCGCAUAAGUAGUGAUUCCUAACUUCGUGCCAGCAGCCGCGGUAAUACGAAUCGAAUU